UUUUCGCAACAUUGACGCAACCAAAAAUACUGGAACAAAAGAGACAACUUCCUUGAAGCUUUGCUGAAACUGCACUUGGUCGGAGCAAUGAAAGGAAAAGCUCGCUGUCAAUUCUUCCGGAUGGUAAAAACGUCGAGGUGAGGGGGGUGUCACCGGAGACGGGCUGAGCCGGGGCUGCCAGCGUCGGAGAUGCAGAUGAUCGCUCCGACAUGCAUCCACAGUGUGCCCAAGUUCCACUCGCUGCAAAAACAAAAAGUGUUUUGGAUCAGCUGUGCCACAAAUGGACACAAAGUCGGCGGCGCCACAUCAUUUAGGUGAAAUAUGUCGAAUGGAAACGGUGGGGUUGAAGUGUUGUCCUCUCCAAUCAGGUAUGUGUGUGGUGUUUUUCAAAAUAAGUUUGUGCGCUUUUUUCUGCAUAUUUUAAACAUUUCGGAGCGCGCUACACCGCUGCAGCCUCAUCAGGGCGUGAAAUUAUUGUGGUCUUGCAU
Thalassophryne amazonica is the source of this 488-nucleotide long non-coding RNA. RefSeq lists it as uncharacterized. The transcript is spliced from 2 exons. The record is from RefSeq and is a predicted model, not a curated record. NCBI's taxonomy places the organism in Eukaryota, Metazoa, Chordata, Actinopteri, Batrachoidiformes, Batrachoididae.